CGGUUGAUCCUGCCGGACCCCACUGCUAUCGGGAUAGGACUAAGACAUGCAAGUCAAGCGCUUUCUAGCUAAUGUGAGAGCGCGGCGUACAGCUCAGUAACACGUGGCCAACCUGCCCUUGGGACGGGAACACCCCCGGGAAACUGGGGUUAAUUCCCGAUAGGUGAAGAAGUCUGGAAUGACUCUUCGCUCAAAAGACGUUUAUGUCAUGCUCAUAUUCGUCGCCCAGGGAUGGGGCCGCGACCGAUCAGGUUGUUGGUGAGGCAAUGGCUCACCAAGCCUUUUACCGGUGCGGGCCGUGAGAGCGGGAGCCCGGAGAUGGGCACUGAGACAAAGGCCCAGGCCCCACGGGGCGCAGCAGUCGCGAAAAUUUUGCAAUACACGAAAGUGUGACAGAGCUAUCCCGAGUGCCAUCCGCUGAGGAAGGCUUUUACCCAGUAUAAAUAGCUGGGAGAAUAAGGAGAGGGCAAGUCUGGUGUCAGCCGCCGCGGUAAUACCAGCUCUCCGAGUAGUGUGGACGUUUAUUGGGCCUAAAGCAUCCGUAGCUUGCUAGAUAAGUCCUCUGUUAAAUCCACCGAUUCAAUCGUUGGAUUGCGGGGGAUACUGUUUGGCUAGGGGACGGGAGAGGUCGACGGUAUUUCCGGGGUAGGGGUGAAAUCCUAUAAUCCCGGGAGGACCACCAGUGGCGAAGGCUGUCGACUAGAACGCGCCCGACGGUGAGGGAUGAAAGCUGGGGGAGCGAAC
RNAcentral lists this ribosomal RNA (744 nucleotides) under uncultured archaeon. RNAcentral's name for it is "bacterial SSU rRNA". It matches the Rfam family "Archaeal small subunit ribosomal RNA", at positions 5 to 724 of the family's 1478-position model. The record is from RNAcentral.